AUGGACAUGAGGGUCCCUGCUCAUCUCCUGGGGUUCCUGCUACUCUCUCUCCCAGGUUCCAGAUGUGACAUCCAGAUGACCCAGUCUCCAUCCUCCCUGUCUGCAUCUCUAGGAGACACAGUCACCAUCACUUGCAAGGCUAGUCAGGGCAUUAGCAAGUGGUUAGCCUGGUAUCAACAGAAACCAGGGAAAUCUCCUACACUCCUGAUCUAUGCAGCAUCCAAUUUGCACACCGGGGUCCCAUCAAGGUUCAGUGGCAGUGGAUCUGGGACAGAUUUCACUCUUACCAUCAGCAGUCUGGAGGCUGAUGAUGUUGGAACUUACUACUGUCAACAGCAUGAUAGUAACCCUCCCACAGUGUUACAAGCCUGA
Galeopterus variegatus (Sunda flying lemur) is the source of this 372-nucleotide non-coding RNA. Lineage: Eukaryota; Metazoa; Chordata; Mammalia; Dermoptera; Cynocephalidae. The record is from the annotation of a RefSeq genome assembly.